GGGCCCGCACAAGCGGUGGAGCAUGUGGUUUAAUUCGAUGCAACGCGAAGAACCUUACCUACUCUUGACAUCUACAGGAUCCUGCGGAGACGCGGGAGUGCCUUCGGGAACUGUAAGACAGGUGCUGCAUGGCUGUCGUCAGCUCGUGUUGUGAAAUGUUGGGUUAAGUCCCGCAACGAGCGCAACCCUUAUCCUUGUUUGCCAGCGAGUAAUGUCGGGAACUCCAGGGAGACUGCCGGUGAUAAACCGGAGGAAGGUGGGGACGACGUCAAGUCAUCAUGGCCCUUACGAGUAGGGCUACACACGUGCUACAAUGGCAAGUACAACGAGUCGCAAUACCGCGAGGUGGAGCAAAUCUCUUAAAGCUUGUCUCAGUUCGGAUAGGAGUCUGCAACUCGACUCCUUGAAGUUGGAGUCGCUAGUAAUCG
Molecule: ribosomal RNA, 428 nt
Filed under: uncultured bacterium
Lineage: Bacteria
Description: bacterial SSU rRNA
Rfam family: Bacterial small subunit ribosomal RNA
Source: RNAcentral